UACGAAGGGGGCUAGCGUUGUCCGGAUUGACUGGGCGUAAAGCGCACGCAGGCGGCCCGGCGCGUGGGGUGUGAAAGCUGGCGGCUUAACUGCCAGACGCCAUCCCAUACGGCUGGGCUCGAGCCCUGCAGAGGUCCAUGGAAUUGCCGGUGUAGUGGUGAAAUGCGUAGAGAUCGGCAGGAACACCCAGGGGGAAACCAGUGGACUGGGCAGGAGCUGACGCUCAGGUGCGAAAGCGUGGGGAGCGAACCGG
This 253-nucleotide ribosomal RNA is filed under the name uncultured bacterium. RNAcentral describes it as "partial 16S ribosomal RNA". It matches the Rfam family "Bacterial small subunit ribosomal RNA", at positions 524 to 776 of the family's 1533-position model. The record is from RNAcentral.